RNAcentral lists this long non-coding RNA (1503 nucleotides) under Capsella rubella. RNAcentral's name for it is "long non-coding RNA (CRUB_LNC001503)". The record is from RNAcentral. Lineage: Eukaryota; Viridiplantae; Streptophyta; Magnoliopsida; Brassicales; Brassicaceae.
GAUUACAGAAAAACGAAACUUUGGCUACCCAAGAAGGACGUCGGAAAGCUCGCCGGAGAAGAGAUCGGAGGAUCGGAUCUUGCUGUAUAACCGGAGGCAGAGAAUCAGAGCACUAGCACCGGCGGAUUCAAGGAGCACGGCGUUGCGGCAAGAUCGAGAGGAAGAGGAACGCCGGUGGAAGAAUCCGGAUCCCACCAUUGAAACCAAACCGCCGACUCACCAACCUGCUACACUCCUCCCGGAAUACCCAAUCGUCCGACAACCGGUUCCGAGAAGUCAGAACCCAUUCCUAGCAAACCGACGACCGGGAAUCUAUCCCCUCCAACCAAACCAGGAGCCUCGACAACCCCUGAGCCAAAACCAAUCACCCGGACCGGAGGAAACCCCAACGGAGGAUCCGGAAGAUGAUUGGCUCAAGCAAACAAACCAAAACCAAAACCCGAAGGGGCUAGUAAAGGAUCCAAAGAACCUACCGUGAACCGCCGAAUCAAAACAGCGAACCCACCGUUUCAUCUCUGACUUCCGUCGUAGCCACAACAACUAAAGGGACGGCUGAGCCAAGGAGAGGCUCUGAUACAACCGCCAGCGUCUUCAAACCAGGGUCAUGCGCAGCAGAGCACUCCACCGCCCGAUUGGAGCCGCCGCUACAUCAGAGAAGAGACACCACACCACCGCCGUCGGAGAAAAGAGACGCCCAUCACCUAAGCUCCAUUUCUGACAAUCGUCCACCAUCGAUGAGCUCUACAAGAAGAAAGAAACAAGAAGGGGAGGGAAAAGACACACAAGCACCAACGGCGCCGGUGAAGAUGCUUCCCCCUCGAUCUGUGCGGUUAGGGUUUUCAUGAGAGAGGAGAGAGUGUUUGGCGUUUGGGCCGCUCAAAGGCUUUUUUCCAAAUUCCUACUUUUCUCGAUCAGCAUUUCACAUGCCACAGGUUUCACUAUAAUGACCACUAAUUAUUUGCUUAUGGUGUUGGGUCUCGAGAUCAAGACUCUCACGAUCUCACACAUAGUUUUGUAAAAUAACAAGAACAAACCUAAUUAUAAUCACCCCAAUAUACGCCUAGGAUGUUAACGUUUUUCUUAUUUCAUUUUAGUUUCUUAGAAUUUUUGGUUUUAUCGAUUUCAUAAAAACUGAAACUAUAAAAAACUUCUAGAUUAAAUAUGUCGCUUUCCUAUAACGUAUCUCUUACGUCUUAAGGAAAUCGGAUUAAGUCUCGUAUCGGAUUGAAUAUCACAUAAAAAAAAUAGAUCGGAUUCUUGAAUGGAAUAUUUCAAAUAUGCAUUGGAAAGUUGAUUUUUGUGGGAUAGCUUAGGGAGUUAACGACAAAAAAAAAAAAAAAAAACAUGUUGAUUUCGGGGGUUUUUGUCAACCGUUAACAUUAUCUCUAGAGUUCUUAAUUAGUAUAGUGUAUAUUAUUAAUGAUCUCGUGGUUUAUAUUUCUAAUAACAUAAGUAGGUGAUGAUGAAUUUUUAUCUUCUAGUUUUUGUAUUUUUUUCUUACGC